CCUCAUUUCUUUAAAGGGGUAAAAAUGCAAAUUUCUGUGCGACUUCGAUUUCUUUGUUAUUCAUUCACUGGGAGGCAAGGACUGCGCUGGUACUGUAUGCUGUACCGAGCUGGGAGUUCAUGCAUGCUAUAGGAAAUGUGUUCUGCUUGAUUAACCUCAUGCUGACAUCUCAGGCUGAUGGUGGUGAGGCCUUCAUGCUGUCACCAGAAACAAUGUGGUCACACCGAGAUGGGUGACUGUAGCAGGGAGCAGCUCACUGAGCAUCUGUUCGGUGGGUGCUGGAAGACUGGUGGGAAUGGGGAGCAGUGGUGACAUUUGGGCUGCUUAGUGGAAAAUAGGAGGAUGUUCCCAUUUGCCAUCGCUUGAUGGGUGCAGAUUCAAAGGUCUCUCUAAGCUGCUUUGGUUUCAUAAAGAUCAGCUCCCAGGUUAGAAGCAGAAAUAGCUCUGGGAUCUGCGACGUACACUGCAUUUUCUGGCAGGCAGAAAUCAGGAGUUUUUCAUAAAUGUGCAAAAGGAAGCUGGGGCUUAAGGAGACCCUUCUAAUAGCGGAUGCUGAAUUCAUCUUAGAAGACAGCUCUGGGGACUUAUCUUCCAGCUAUAGAGGUCCCUGUCAGCCUGAAGGAAACAGAAGGAGGACAAUAAAAUGAGCUGAGAGUCACUUUAUUUUAUACCGCAAAAAUACAACAUGCUGCAUGAGUCCAGUCUUGUAAAACUGAAAAAUAAAGUAAAAAGGGUAUUUUUGUUGUUUAUAAUGGUACACAUGGAUUACAAAUCUCCCAAUGUCUCCCCCAGCUCUUGGUCUUAUUCUUCUUUGAUGUAUUUGUGUAGGCUGCUGCUACUUGUGUAAGUCCUCCCAAAACUACUGUUUAACUGGAAGAGCCUGGCACUUCAUAUUCAGGACUGUGGAGAGUGAUUAGAGAUCACUGAUUUUGUCAAGACAAAGAAUUAGUCAAAAAAGAAAUGUGUUUUGACAACUUGUUUUGCUGGAAAAAUGUGGGUUCUUUUUGAUAUUGAAAACAUUCAGCAUUGCAAUUUGAAAAAAAAAAAAACAGCAUUUUUUUCCUUUUAAACUGUGACGAAAUUCUCUUAUGUUUACUUGUUCUUCCUUUCUCUCACACUGAAGAAAGAAAAAUAUGUGUACAUACUUG
Molecule: long non-coding RNA, 1148 nt
Organism: Gallus gallus (chicken)
Lineage: Eukaryota; Metazoa; Chordata; Aves; Galliformes; Phasianidae
Source: Ensembl